CGCGUAGGUGGUUAGGUAAGCGAGAUGUGAAAGCCCCGGGCUUAACCUGGGAACGGCAUUUCGAACUGUCUGACUAGAGUAUGGUAGAGGGUAGUGGAAUUUCCUGUGUAGCGGUGAAAUGCGUAGAUAUAGGAAGGAACACCAGUGGCGAAGGCGGCUACCUGGACCAAUACUGACACUGAGGUGCGAAAGCGUGGGGAGCAAAACA
Molecule: ribosomal RNA, 208 nt
Filed under: uncultured bacterium
Lineage: Bacteria
Description: partial 16S ribosomal RNA
Rfam family: Bacterial small subunit ribosomal RNA
Source: RNAcentral